RNAcentral lists this ribosomal RNA (442 nucleotides) under uncultured bacterium. RNAcentral describes it as "partial 16S ribosomal RNA". It matches the Rfam family "Bacterial small subunit ribosomal RNA", at positions 28 to 507 of the family's 1533-position model. The record is from RNAcentral.
GAUGAACGCUGGCGGCGUGCCUUAUACAUGCAAGUCGAGUGGGUUUAGACCCACGGCAAACGGGUGAGUAACACGUAGGUACUUUCCUUGUCACAGGAAUAACCCUCCGAAAGGAGGGCUAAUACCUGAUGUGAUCGCAAGAUUAAAGGGUAUCCGCAAGGAUUACCGGACAAGAAGAGGCCUGCGGCCUAUCAGCUAGUUGGCGGGGUAAAUGCCCACCAAGGCUAUGACGGGUAGCUGGUCGUAUGAGGAUGAUCAGUCACAUGGGCACUGAGACACGGGCCCAACUCCUACGGGAGGCAGCAGUAGGGAAUUUUGCGCAAUGGGCGAAAGCCUGACGAAGCGACGCCGCGUGAGAGAUGAAGGCCUUCGGGUCGUAAACCGCUUUUAUAAGGGACGAACUUUGACGGUACCUUAUGAAUAAGAGGUUGCUAACUCUGUG